GGUUCCAUGGUGUAGGGGCAGCACUUCAGAUUCUGAUUCUGGCAACGCGAGUUCGAUUCUCGCUGGGACCU
This is a non-coding RNA of Chytridium lagenaria, 71 nucleotides long. Lineage: Eukaryota; Fungi; Chytridiomycota; Chytridiomycetes; Chytridiales; Chytridiaceae. The record is from the annotation of a GenBank genome assembly.